UUGAUUUAGUGCUAAAAUGAAUAUGAAUGAAAGAGGUAGUGCUGGCUUUUCUGCUUUCCUUUGAAGGCUAUCCUCUCACAGAGCAACCCCAAGCAGAAAGACGGGGUCUCAAGCUGCAAAUCACAGAGGAAAAAGCUGCCUCGUGCACAUGUACCACCUUUUCUUCACGGUGUAGUGGAAAAUGGGCCCUUUUUCCCAAUCCCAAAUCCCGAUCCAGGCAGAGCUGUGCUGACACCCCCUGCCUGGCCAGCUCCAGCUCCCCUCUGUCUUGCAACAGGCAAGGAAAAUGCAGAUUUUUGCAAGGAUAUUUAGCACAAAAGCCAGAGAGCUACAACUGGAGAGGCUGUGUUAGUGUAUACACGUAAACAACAGCAUAAACUACAUGUGUAUAAGCGCCCGGCAAGCACCCUCUGGACUGCUUGGCACUCUGAAUUCAGCCUGUUUCUGCAGUUUGUGAUGAAGAGGGACACAAAGUCUGGCCAAACCAGGAAGGAAAGGAUCGUCUUCUAGACUGAGACCACCCUGGCCGCAUUCAAUUGCACAACACAAAUGAUGUUUGGUCAGUAAUGCAUUGCUAGAAAAACCCUGUAACACACAAGAGGUGUACGACACUUGGUUUACGUGCAGAAGCACGAGCAACAGUCCCGUAGGAACACAGGCAAACCAUAACGCCAUGCCACGGUCAGCACACAUCCCCUCUGGAAGGGACGUAAAGGAAGAAACGGCUCUUACGUGAAUCAAGCCCAGAUGUAAACACUGGCUUGGCGGAUGAUUGACUAAGGCAGGGAGAAAUUGGGGAUCAGGUCUCUAGACAGGCCCCUUGUUUGCUCGUACUGAUUUAAAGCACGGCUCUCCUAUGAAAAGCUCCCUCUGUUUCCCAUUUUGCAGACGACAAGUCACAGCUCACGUUAAUAUUCAGGAUUUGUGGGGAGUGAGUAUGAAACGCUAUCCAGUUUGGUUUGCUUGCUUCUCCUAAUUACCAGCCUAAACGAUCACGACAGCGGCUGAGUUGUAGAGAUGAUGGAUCAGGCCUGACACAUAAACUGUUCUGGUGCUCUGUGUUUGACCGAUUUUCUAGGUAGCCUUCAUAAAAGAGCUUCUGUGUAAACUUACAACGGACAGACCCUAGCAUGUAAACAUUCUUUACUAGAUUUAGUCUUGAGGAAAGCAUCUGACGUGAAUUCCUUGUGACCAUCAAUUGCCCAAGGGCCCUCAUAAAAAAAAAGCAAAUUUUAAGUCGGAUGACUAGAUUUUCAUGGCGCUUGUAUCACGUGGGACUGCAUGGCAGAGCAGACUAGAGGCACAGCAUGCUGCUAAAAGCAUGAGAGGACUUACUGAGAGCUACAUUUAAAAGACCUGCUUCGAUGUACUGUGCAACAGACAGCAUCAUGGUGGAAGUGCAUGUCUCCAUCUUUUCCUUUUCCCCGUGCUGGGUUCGGGUGCUGUGACAGCAGUGCAGUUUGAUUGCUUUCAAAACCCAGGAAAAGUGCAGCCCAGCUCUCUAGGGCCAAGCUACAGCCUGAGGCGGCGGCUGUGGAACGAUGAUUUAAAUCUGCCUUUUUCCUGAGAGGUCCCUCAAAAACUGAAGUUAAUAAUUUAAGGAAUGCUGACUCAGGAAAAAUGCUAUGUUCCUAACUAUAAUGUGCAAACACAAUGUAAUAUAACAGGCAAUGAGGCGCCUCGUUGCUAGACUAGAUUGUACAAGUAGAUUUUACUAUAACUGGCAAUGUACGUCAAAAGCGUAACAGCUUUGUCCUCACUAGGGUUUUUCCUCAAGCUAGUGAGGUGAGACUGUUCACCCUGUGCCAGGCAUCGACUGUAGCCACCUGAACGGGCCAGGCAGCCAUCGCAGGAUCCUUCGAUGGUCGAUGGAUUUCUCUGGAGACGGCUCUGGAGAAGGCGCUUGGCUCAGUCACAUCCUAGGUUGAAAUUCAAAAUUGAUGGACUUAAAAACUACAUGACUAAAAUCUCUGCUCUGGUUCUGGUGGCAAGAUAGGAUGGGGUGAACGAUGCAACGCCCCGGAGAAAGGAGAAGCUGGAAAUCGCUGCCGCAGCAGGAAAUCUCUGCAAGGUUAGAAGAGAGGCAACCCGAAUCUGACUCCUCAGCCACCGUGGUAAUCUGUUCGUGCAGCUUCCAGCCAUUUCGUUUAAACGGCGACGCAGCUCUUUCCAUACAGGAAAAGGGAGUCUGCCCCCAUCUGCUUUGCUGACUGCGAACUGGCAGCCGUCCUCCAGCACUUGAGAACCAUAUGCCAAGUACUUGGAUUCAAAGGACUUGAGCAGGAGGACUUUAUCCCAGGUCCACCUGGGAAAGGUUAGAGUGAGGAAGAGACUGCUGGAGGUGUUUUACCACCGACCCCAGCGGAGGUAGCA
Chroicocephalus ridibundus (black-headed gull) is the source of this 2373-nucleotide long non-coding RNA. RefSeq lists it as uncharacterized. The transcript has 3 exons. Lineage: Eukaryota; Metazoa; Chordata; Aves; Charadriiformes; Laridae. The record is from RefSeq and is a predicted model, not a curated record.